This is a long non-coding RNA of Helianthus annuus (common sunflower), 1606 nucleotides long. RefSeq lists it as uncharacterized. The transcript is spliced from 5 exons. NCBI's taxonomy places the organism in Eukaryota, Viridiplantae, Streptophyta, Magnoliopsida, Asterales, Asteraceae. The record is from RefSeq and is a predicted model, not a curated record.
UAGAACUCCUUCUCUAUCGUCACCCUCAAAACCCUAGCGUCACAUAUGCAUCUUCUUCAACAAAUCCACAAAUCUUCUUCAGCAAAUCGACAAUGGUGAUUCCCAAGUUACCUUUUAACCAUCGAUCUGUAGAUUCGAGGUCGCAAUCGAAACCCUAAUGUUUUUUAUUUUCAAAUCAGUUAUCUUUUUCGAUUUACGAAACAAAGGUAUGCAAUCAAGCUUUUGAUCUUCCACCUCUUGAUUUCUUCAUGGUAAAGUCGGUUUUUUUUUUUUUUUCUAAUUGCUUGCGUAAUCCAUUGAUUUUGUAAGAUUUCUAUUCAAUGUUUCAUUAUUUCAAAUCUGGGUUCUCACCAAAAACCCACCACUAAUCAUCUUUUAUUUUCUGAUUAAACUCUAUGGUGCGAUGUCGUCGUUGCGGGAGUGGCUUUGGGCAAGAUCAUUUUCUCCAAAGCAAUGAUCUGCUGGAACAUGAAUUGGUUUUAUUUGGUGUUUUCAUUUGAUGUCUAGGGUUUGGUGGGGUCGUUUCAAGAUGGGGGCAAGUGGGCAACAAAAGAAGAAGUUAAGAAAAGUGUCGCUGAGAUUUCUUCAAAGUAAGUGGUGAUUGCGGGUUGUAACGGGUCAGGUAUAGCUUUCUUAGUAGAACUAACCCAAAAGUAAAGUACUGAUUUUAGAAUGCUGAUGCUCAGGAGAGGUUCAAAAACAUCCCUUUGCAGGUGCGAUGUUGAUUAAUAUAGUUAGUGUUCUGGCGGGUAAAAGAGCUUCGUUUACCUCAUUGAGCGGUGGAUACCGUUCUUGCCUACGCCGAUGGGGAAGGGUUUGUUGCCUGAUACGCAUGAGCUAGCGGCGACGUCUGCGCGCUCGCUCACGAUCGUGAAGUGUGAUUUUGCUAUUGUGGUUGGUGCGCGGUUGAAUUGGUUGUUGCAUUUUGGAGAGUCGCCGAAGUGGUCGAAGGAUGUUAAGUUUAUUUUAAUUGAUGUUGAUGAGGGUAAGAUUGAGCUUCGGAAGCCGUAUUUGGUGUUGAAUAAGGAGAUUAAGGAUGACCCGUUUUGUUUGGGGUGUACGCAUCCGUGGAUGAUUCCACACCCACUUCGUUUGUCCCCAGUGCAACGUAUCUUCUUCUAAUUGAAGGUUUUGGUGGAAAAGGUUAUCUUUUUCUGCAAGAAAGCCUGCUGUUAUCAAUGUCACGGUUGAUCCGUAUGCUGGUGCAGAAUGUGGCCGGAUGCAACACAAAAAUUGAGAAAUAUAUAAGACACAAGGAUGGUGGGAGCUAAUUUGGAUGAAAAACUUCAAAGAUGGUACCAGGCAGAUUUGAAAGCUAAAGGAAGUUGAAGUGCUAAACUGGAUCUACACAUUAUAUAAAAGAUAAUAAAAGGGUUUCAAAAGAAAAGGCUCAGAUGAUUUCUCUUCAGAACGAAGAAGCGCAUGGGACUCGAGGGUUGCACCUCAUGACAGUCAAAGUAACAAGUCAAUCGAGAAGGAAGCGAGUUAUAAGCUUAGUAUGUUAAUGCAUUUAAACUUUUUUUAUAUCUUUUUUAAGUAUACUAUUACUUUUGUAGUCUUUUUUGUUCAUUUAUCAUUUGUUAAGCAAACUUUUACCUUUCUUUUA